RNAcentral lists this long non-coding RNA (1001 nucleotides) under Chrysemys picta bellii (western painted turtle). RNAcentral describes it as "lncRNA (ENSCPBG00000006678.1)". The record is from RNAcentral. Lineage: Eukaryota; Metazoa; Chordata; Testudines; Emydidae.
AAUUAUAGGGAAUCCGUGGGGUUUCCCUAGCUACAGACAGUCACUAAGGAGCGUCAAGCAGUAAACUCCAGGCUGGCAGUACAGCAGCACACAGAAGCCUUUCUUGUUUCUAUUGCUGAAAUAUGGGGGUAUGAUUAAGCAGCCACUCAGCCUUCCUUGGAGUCUUUUCUAUGGAAUAGGGCACCCGCAGCCACCACAGGUGGCUCUCUGGAAAUACCUACUGAGAGAAGUGGCCACCCGCUACCCCCAAUGACAAAUUUUGAAGAACAAUGAGCUGACAUGACAAGCUGGGAGGAUGUACAAGAGGUCACCAAACUAUCAAAGAUUCUUUCCUUGUCCUCUUCUGGUGGGCACCAUGAUUUAUUUGAUAUCCUCCUCUUACCACGGUCAUGCUGUCUGAUCCUCAUCUUCAUCAGUACAAAGAGAAGCUCCAAUUCCUGGCUGAGAUUCAGAGCCAUAAGGUCAGUGGAAACAAAUGUAUCACAUUUAUUUAUCGUAUGCACUGCUGCAAUAUCACAAUUUGGGGACUGGUUUUCAGUGGAGAAGUAAUCACACCCGGUCAUGUAGGGAAAAUAUGCCGCUAUGCAUAUAUUGUUUAAAGAAUGAGAUUUAGUGAUCAGAAAGCUUCCAGGCUGACAGCACAGAAAAGUCUUGUUCACCACAGAACAGGAACAGCACAAGCAGCUACAGCACAGGCUUCCGCACACUGCUCUGCCUCUGUGCCUCAACCCUGACCUGGAAGUUCAAUAUCCAUGCCAACUCAAUCAUUGCCCUUCCCCAGGAGGCUAUUUGACCGAUGGUUUUAUUACACUCCUGAUGCUGGGGGCACUUUUUCUACUUCCUCUCUUCUUCUGUUUAUCCAAUACUGGUCACUGAUCUCCAGGGAACUACUGAGAGUUUAAUUGUCCAGUGGGAAGGGAAGAGUUUGAAUUGAACCUUCAUGUUGAAAUUUUGGAGGCUUAGUUGUGAUGGAAAAUUUUGAACAUGUUGCAUUUUGUUUC